UACGUAGGGUGCGAGCGUUGUCCGGAAUUAUUGGGCGUAAAGAGCUCGUAGGCGGUUUGUUGCGUCGGCUGUGAAAACCUGCGGCUUAACUGUGGGCUUGCAGUCGAUACGGGCAGACUUGAGUUCGGCAGGGGAGACUGGAAUUCCUGGUGUAGCGGUGAAAUGCGCAGAUAUCAGGAGGAACACCGGUGGCGAAGGCGGGUCACUGGCUCGAUACUGACGCUGGAGGUGCGAAAGCGUGGGGAGCAAACAGG
RNAcentral lists this ribosomal RNA (254 nucleotides) under uncultured bacterium. Its description in RNAcentral is "partial 16S ribosomal RNA". It matches the Rfam family "Bacterial small subunit ribosomal RNA", at positions 524 to 776 of the family's 1533-position model. The record is from RNAcentral.